RNAcentral lists this ribosomal RNA (231 nucleotides) under uncultured bacterium. RNAcentral's name for it is "partial 16S ribosomal RNA". It matches the Rfam family "Bacterial small subunit ribosomal RNA", at positions 99 to 334 of the family's 1533-position model. The record is from RNAcentral.
CGGACGGGUGAGUAAUGUCUGGGAAACUGCCUGAUAGAGGGGGAUAACUACUGGAAACGGUAGCUAAUACCGCAUAACGUCGCAAGACCAAAGAGGGGGACCUUAGGGCCUCUUGCCAUCGGAUGUGCCCAGAUGGGAUUAGCUAGUAGUGGGGUAACGGCUCACCUAGGCGACGAUCCCUAGCUGGUCUGAGAGGAUGACCAGCCACACUGGAACUGAGACACGGUCCAG